Molecule: ribosomal RNA, 464 nt
Filed under: Vreelandella stevensii
Lineage: Bacteria; Pseudomonadati; Pseudomonadota; Gammaproteobacteria; Oceanospirillales; Halomonadaceae
Description: partial 16S ribosomal RNA
Rfam family: Bacterial small subunit ribosomal RNA
Source: RNAcentral
CCUACGGGUGGCUGCAGUGGGGAAUAUUGGACAAUGGGCGAAAGCCUGAUCCAGCCAUGCCGCGUGUGUGAAGAAGGCCUUCGGGUUGUAAAGCACUUUCAGUGGGGAAGAAAGCCUUGGGGCUAAUACCCUCGAGGAAGGACAUCACCCACAGAAGAAGCACCGGCUAACUCCGUGCCAGCAGCCGCGGUAAUACGGAGGGUGCGAGCGUUAAUCGGAAUUACUGGGCGUAAAGCGCGCGUAGGCGGUCUGAUAAGCCGGUUGUGAAAGCCCCGGGCUCAACCUGGGAACGGCAUCCGGAACUGUCAGGCUAGAGUGCAGGAGAGGAAGGUAGAAUUCCCGGUGUAGCGGUGAAAUGCGUAGAGAUCGGGAGGAAUACCAGUGGCGAAGGCGGCCUUCUGGACUGACACUGACGCUGAGGUGCGAAAGCGUGGGUAGCAAACAGGAUUAGAUACCCUAGUAUC